RNAcentral lists this ribosomal RNA (160 nucleotides) under uncultured bacterium. RNAcentral's name for it is "partial 16S ribosomal RNA". It matches the Rfam family "Bacterial small subunit ribosomal RNA", at positions 357 to 509 of the family's 1533-position model. The record is from RNAcentral.
AGGAAUCUUCCACAAUGGACGAAAGUCUGAUGGAGCAACGCCGCGUGAGUGAAGAAGGGUUUCGGCUCGUAAAGCUCUGUUGGUAGUGAAGAAAGAUAGAGGUAGUAACUGGCCUUUAUUUGACGGUAAUUACUUAGAAAGUCACGGCUAACUACGUGCC